Molecule: ribosomal RNA, 426 nt
Filed under: uncultured eukaryote
Lineage: Eukaryota
Description: bacterial SSU rRNA
Rfam family: Eukaryotic small subunit ribosomal RNA
Source: RNAcentral
CAAUAGCGUAUAUUAAAGUUGUUGCAGUUAAAAAGCUCGUAGUUGGAUUUCUGUUGAUAGCUCUCGGCCGGCUCAAAGAGUUUGUGCUGAAUGGCUUAUCGACAUCCUUGGCGGGAGGCUUUCUGGCAUUAAGUUGUCGGGAUUCGGAUCGUCAUCGUUUACUGUGAAAAAUUAGAGUGUUCAAAGCAGGCUUACGCCGUUGAAUACAUUAGCAUGGAAUAAUAAGAUAGGACCCUGGUACUAUUUUGUUGGUUUGCGUACCUAGGUAAUGAUUAAUAGGGACAGUUGGGGGUAGUUUGUAUUCCGUUGUCAGAGGUGAAAUUCUUGGAUUUACGGAAGACAAACUACUGCGAAAGCAUUUACCAAGGAUGUUUUCUAUUAAUCAAGAACGAAAGUUAAGGGGAGUCGAAGAUGAUUAGAUACCAU